Molecule: ribosomal RNA, 498 nt
Filed under: uncultured bacterium
Lineage: Bacteria
Description: partial 16S ribosomal RNA
Rfam family: Bacterial small subunit ribosomal RNA
Source: RNAcentral
AUUGAACGCUGGCGGAAUGCUUUACACAUGCAAGUCGAGCGGCAGCGCGGGGCAACCUGGCGGCGAGCGGCGAACGGGUGAGUAACAUAUCGGAACGUGCCCAUUGGUGGGGGAUAACACAUCGAAAGAUGUGCUAAUACCGCAUAAGACCUGAGGGUGAAAGGGGGGGAUCGCAAGACCUCUCGCCGUUGGAGCGGGCGAUAUCGGAUUAGCUAGUUGGUGGGGUAAAGGCUCACCAAGGCGACGAUCCGUAGCUGGUCUGAGAGGAUGAUCAGCCACACUGGAACUGAGACACGGUCCAGACUCCUACGGGAGGCAGCAGUGGGGAAUUUUGGACAAUGGGGGCAACCCUGAUCCAGCCAUUCCGCGUGAGUGAAGAAGGCCUUCGGGUUGUAAAGCUCUUUCGGCAGGAACGAAACGGUUUGGGCUAAUACCCUGAGCUAAUGACGGUACCUGAAGAAGAAGCACCGGCUAACUACGUGCCAGCAGCCGCCGCCG